This 253-nucleotide ribosomal RNA is filed under the name uncultured bacterium. RNAcentral describes it as "partial 16S ribosomal RNA". It matches the Rfam family "Bacterial small subunit ribosomal RNA", at positions 524 to 776 of the family's 1533-position model. The record is from RNAcentral.
UACGUAGGGUGCAAGCGUUGUCCGGAAUUAUUGGGCGUAAAGAGCUCGUAGGCGGUCUGUCGCGUCGAAUGUGAAAACCCGGGGCUCAACUCCGGGCUUGCAUUCGAUACGGGCAGGCUAGAGGUAGGUAGGGGAGAACGGAAUUCCCGGUGUAGCGGUGAAAUGCGCAGAUAUCGGGAGGAACACCGGUGGCGAAGGCGGUUCUCUGGGCCUUACCUGACGCUGAGGAGCGAAAGCAUGGGGAGCGAACAGG